This is a long non-coding RNA of Manis pentadactyla (Chinese pangolin), 3592 nucleotides long. RefSeq lists it as uncharacterized. NCBI's taxonomy places the organism in Eukaryota, Metazoa, Chordata, Mammalia, Pholidota, Manidae. The transcript is spliced from 4 exons. The record is from RefSeq and is a predicted model, not a curated record.
CACAACAGUAUUUCAAAGGAUGCAGCUCAGUGGAAGUUGGAUGAGGAAGCUAUACUUAGGGCCUCCCCAAAACAAAGGGUCCUAUGGCUUUUCUCCAGAGAUCAGAAAGGUGAUUUUUGUCUGAAGGGUGGAUUGGGGCAAAUUAGCCAGAUGAGCUGUAACCCCAACUGCCUACUUCUGGAGGAGGGGUUUGUAGCCUAGAAAGGGGACAGAAAAUCAAAUACAUUGCACUUGGCAGUGGCUGUUUAAAUUUGAGUAGUGAAAAGUGAGUAUUUGACCCUAUUCUGUGUCUUGUACAAGCUAUGUCCUGACAUUUGCUCCCACCACAGUAAAUAUUAGUUUUUCUCAUAAUUGACUAUUUAUCAGGUUUCGGUGGACAGGUGAGUAGCAGGCAAAUAAAAUGGGACACGUGAAGUUCAUGAACCGAGGGGCAUUGUCUAGGCAAAGCAAGAUCUCCUGUUUUCUUGCCCUGAAGAAGUAACAGCAAAAAGGAAACUGUUCAAUGAAGAUGUAAGAGACACAGGUGAGAGCAUCUUCUUCAUGACUGUAAGCUCCUGAAGGCCAAGGAUUAUAAUUGUUCAUGCCUGCAUCUCCACAGUAGGACCUGGCAUGUGCAAUGUAUGAAAGUUCCAGUUGCUCCACAUCUUUGCUGAUAUUUAGUGUUGUCAGUCUUUUUACUUUAAACCAUCCUGAGUUCUGCAGGAACAUCUGGCUGACUGGCAGUUACAUUUUCUGAAGGGAGGUGAUGACUAUUGCUACAAUUUUUUCAAGUUCUGCAGUUAUUAUUAGUCAAGUUUUCUAUGGGUAUGAGCAACUAUCAACUAUCAAGACUAUGGAACAACAACAACAAAAAAGGAAGCAAUAUCAAAUGUUUAUUUCUUGCUCAGGAAGUUAAGAAAUUUUUAUCUAUCUGUGAAAGAGAAAAAGAAAAAAUAAAAUUUGACAACGUAUGUAGUAUGGUUUUUGCAAGCCAAAUUGCCAGUGUGUCAGGAAGGGUUGUAUAAAAUAUCUGAAGCAUUAUGCUGGUGCCUAGAGGGAAGAGGUAAAGAUUCUCAGUUAAUAGUUCAUGAUCAACCACUUGAACUUGACUUCAGGAUAAACCUGUGAGUCCCCAGCUGGGAGAGGGCAUGUUUAACUUUAGUGCAGUUUGGAGAUAGAGCAUUCCUGGGGAGAACAAUACUUGGCACGUUAUAGGUAUAAAAUAAAUAUUUGUUGAUGACACAGCCGCACUGCCUCCAAAUCAACAUUCUCUCAGUUCACAAAUACUUUCAAAGGAAGAAAAUUUUAGAACACCAAUGAAUGGCUAUUUUCCCCUCUUAAUCUCUGAGAGAUCAUUGUUUCCUGUUUCCAUGGUAACUAGAAGACUAGAAAUUGCCAAAACUUCAGAGACACUUGAAAUGAAAGUCAGGGGGAAAAAAAAGGCAAAUGUUACAGGCAGCAUGUAUGACAAUGGGGCAAAGUUUUUGAAAUUUGGGAAGACUUUAUUUCUUUGCUUGAAAUAAUGCAAUAAUUUCCAGAACCUAGAGGUAAUACUUGAUGCCACACUACUGAAUGUUCAUUGAGGAAGUUUUAUUCUUUUCUUGAAAGGAGAGACCCAUGGGCCUUAGAAGCAAUCAAGUGAAGGUAAGCUGUUGGAAAUUGCUCUCCUGGCAAGCCUUAAUGUUAACCACAAUGAGGAGGCCAGUCUGUCUGAAGUGUCCUUGCUUCCUCCCUUGCAUGGCGUGAACAAAUAUUUAUUGAGCACCUACUUUCUGGGUAACCUAGCCUACACACAACUAAGUGAAAAAUUACAACUCUGAUAAGGGCUUCUAAAAGUACAUGUAACUAUUAGAACAUGUAAUAGGCAGAGCUGACCUGUCAAUAAGGCCAGGCCUUCCUAAGGAAGUAUGAUUAAGCUGAGUAGGAGGAAACUAGGCAGUGGUUGCCGGGCGUGGGGAGGAAGAACAUUCCAGGCAGUGGGAACUCUUGGGCAGAGGCCCUCUGGGGGAAGUAAGCCUCGAGAGUUCAAGGAACUGAAAACAGUCCUGAGCAGCCUGUGCUGGCAGAACCCCAGAGAGUAAGGGGAAUGAACUUGUGGCAUGGCCAGCUGGAGAAGUGAGCAGGAGCCAGGUCAUUGCCAAAACACAGCCUUGACUCUUGCAAGGUGGGUUUGUUAAAGACUUUGGUCUUUAUCCCUCCUCAUUCCAGGGUGAGCUUGGGCUGGUAACAGGAAGGCAUGACAGGCCCUUGUGUGUAUCUGGGAAUGACAGCUUCUGGUUCAUCUGAAGUCCAUCAGAAUAUUGCCAUAAAUUCCAGAUGUGAACCAUCAUGUUUCAAAGGAUUAUAAUUCAUUAAAUACUUUAAACCCAAAUCAUUUUCAAGAUAUAUUAUUUUGUGUAUAACAAUUCAGUGGACACCUCAGAGCAAUCAUUAUGACUUUCAAUUAUCAUCCUAUAUUAACCCCUCAGAAGCCAGCGUUUGCUCUCAUAACCUUCCCUUUGUUUGUGACCUAGCUGGAAUCCAGGAAAAGUCUGCAAGAAGCCAGAAUAAAUGUGACAAAGACCACAUAUAUUUUAACCAGAGGGUAGGUUCUCAUUAAGAACUACUUGAUCUUUCUUUUACAUAUUCUGAGUUCCAAGGCCACAGCAGAUGGGGAACAAUGAUUCAGAAAGGGAGAAGGUAUGGGGUGGUAUAUGACAAUAACUGAAACUAACAGGGACCGGAACAACUGUAGAGGAAGAGACAAAAAAAAAAAUGAGAAAGAAAAACACUAAAUAAAAAAUGAAGGAAGGAAGAAAGAAAGAAAGAAAAGGAAAGAAGGCAAGUAAUCUGGGGCUUUUAGUUAUGGACAAACUGUCUUGCAUGCCUUAGAUCUUGAGGGCAUCACUGUUUUUAUAAUGAGACCUUUUACUUAAGUAGUCAAGGAGGUGUUUUAGAAAGAUUUCUAGCCUACAGGGUAAGGGUUUUUAAAAGGAUUUUGGUACUUGAAGAGUGGAUCUUCAGUGAUUUGGGAAAAUUGUCUGUUCAGAAUGGUUCUUACAAAGGUUGUGUAUAAUUAUGGUUUUAUUGUAGUCCAGUGGAGGUGUUAGUUAAUAAAGGUUUCAGGCUGAAAAGUAUCCCACACACCAGCUUUUGCUGAGACUGCUUCGUUUUCACAAGUCAUCUAAUUCUGGGUUUGAACGAAGUCAUUGGAAGUGACACUUUUCAUAUCUAAAUUGUCAUGAUGCUAUUCUUGACAAGGAAUGAGUUCUUGAAUAUUUAAAAAUACUGUAGGUGAUAAAAUGCUCUUAAUAAAAACAUUUCAAAGUUUGCCUUUCACAGUUUUAACUUUAAUUUUCAUGCUUAACUCUUAAAUGCAAAUAAUCUUUCUCUAGGCAUAAGGUGCUCCCUAAAGUUACAUGGUUGUCUGAAUUGUAUGUCAUUACUGCCUCCAGAUGAGAGUGAGAAUGAACAAAAUAUAGUUUGAUCACCUUGGAAAAUGCUCAUGCUAUAUGUUUAUGAAAUGAUUUGGGGGAUUGACAUUGUUUUCUUCAAAUAUAUCCUCCAUACAUGUCAGAGCAUCUUUUUUCUCCCUAGAGAACAUGUUCAUACUGCAGUACCUAAUGUCCUAAUU